This 254-nucleotide ribosomal RNA is filed under the name uncultured bacterium. RNAcentral's name for it is "partial 16S ribosomal RNA". It matches the Rfam family "Bacterial small subunit ribosomal RNA", at positions 524 to 776 of the family's 1533-position model. The record is from RNAcentral.
UACGUAGGGUGCAAGCGUUGUCCGGAAUUAUUGGGCGUAAAGAGCGUGUAGGCGGCCCGACCAGUCCGCUGUGAAAGUCCGGGGCUCAACUCCGGAUCUGCGGUGGGUACGGGCAGACUAGAGUGAUGUAGGGGAGACUGGAAUUCCUGGUGUAGCGGUGAAAUGCGCAGAUAUCAGGAGGAACACCGGUGGCGAAGGCGGGUCUCUGGGCAACAACUGACGCUGAGGAGCGAAAGCAUGGGGGAGCGAACAGG